Molecule: long non-coding RNA, 3843 nt
Organism: Mus caroli (Ryukyu mouse)
Lineage: Eukaryota; Metazoa; Chordata; Mammalia; Rodentia; Muridae
Source: RefSeq, a predicted model, not a curated record
GAGAUUAUGACUCUAUUUAGGACUAUUGUGUUUUGACUGCUCUGGUUGGCUUAUAUAUUUUAUUAUCUCUUCACAUAGAAUUGUUGAUUUCAAAGAUAGGAGUGAGGGUCUAAUGGAAAUCUGCCCUGCAGACCAUCUAAGCCACUCUUCAACCUUGCUUCAAUUUAACGAGCAUCAGUCAAGCCAAGAUCUCAGCUAUCAGUAGCUUUUCUUUAAGGAACAAGCCCUGAGGAGCAUCCUUCCAGGAGUCUGCACAGUAUUGGGAAGGUACACACAGCUUCUGUCCGUUCAUGAAUGUGGUCACCAUGGCAUGUCUAGAAGACAGCAUUUUUUUUCAGUGUCAACAGUCAGUGAAGAGAUGCAUGACUGAUCAAAGUGCUAAGAGGAAGAGACCACAAGCUCUGAGGUGGUAAGAUGCAGUUUGGGUGAGUAGAAUCAGAAGCCAAUGAUGGUGGUCUUGGUGAGGAUGGUGAGAGAAGUUUACCACAGUACAUACUUUUAUAUAGUUGGCCCCUUGGGCACUUUAUAUACAGAUGGGAGUGAGUGUGAGUGUGUGUGUCUGUGUGUGUGUGUCUGAGUAAGAGCCAUUGACAAAAAGCAGGUCAUAAAUUUGAAAGAGAAUAAAUUGAGGUAUAUGGGAAGAUUUGGAGGGGAGAAAGAGAAGGGAGAAAUAUAGUAAUCUCAAAUAUAAAAGGAAAGAGGAAAAUUAAUAGCAAUGAACUGACUUAAAAAAGACAGUAGCUAGUGAAAAAAAAUAAAGAACAUAAGCAGGGCAGACAACGAGGAGCACACUAGUGAGCAGCACUCUUGACUUUCCUCUGACUUAGUUCCUGUCUCCAGCUACCUGCCCUGACUUCCUGGAAUGGUACCUUCCCUGCAAGCUACAAGAAGAAGUAAAUCCUUUCUUCCACAUGAGAGAGCUUUGGUCAUGCUGAUUUAUCACAGUAGUGCAGACUCUAGAUUCCAGGGUGGUUUUUCAGGUGUUUAGAAUCCAGUGCUGGGGACGACCACAGAUGCCUUUUCCCUGCCUGCAUGCCACCUUCCAGCAAUGUGAGCACCAACCAGCAGAAUGGAACGUCCCAGCUUACUUCGAUCUUGCUUUACCUAUUUGCCUAAUCCCAGGUCUGUGGCUUCUUCAGUAACAGCUUCUUACUAUCUAGUUCUAGUGAGUGUCCUAGGCCAGUGGCAAUAUCAUCCUUUGUCUGCUGAGCCUCCAACCAAUAACACAGGAGGAGAUGGCCUACCACUGGUGCUGAGGUUUUUGGUUCAAAACUUGUGGCUUUGGGGAGCAGCAUUAUCCAUUCCUUUAGCGUGCCUCCAUCCAAAAUUUUGGUUGUCAAAUUGGACUUGAGACCUGCUCAACAGGAGAGAAAUCCUGGGUGGUACUGAAACCCUAGCAGACUGGCCAGGACUAACUUGUGAGGUGACAAAUCUUGGCGGAGAGUGUACAACGACCAGUUUACUAUAGCAUCGCAGUAACCUAACUAUGCUCUAAAUAUCUGUCCUUAUACCCACAGAGAAGUGUAAUCCUCAUGCCUCAUCGAUUUCCUUUCUCUUGGCAACAGACAGAGGUCAUUCCAGAAAACAACAAGCCAUCGAACUGCAGAGUUGNCGAGCCCAGGCACAAUGGAGACAUCUCCAACACAGCUGCAUCUAAGGCUCAGGGAGUAUUUUGGAAGAGGGGUCAGAAGCAGUCUAAGAACUAGAGGAUCAGGGAACGAGAUGCGAGGCUGUGACUCCUAAGACUGCCAGAAGCGACCUGCAAAGUCUCAGCAACACGACUGCCCAAACAUGAGCUGGACAAGGAAGAGUAGACAUGCCAGAUAUGGGCAGAGGGAAAGGCCACAGGGCCUCAACCUUAUCUCCAAAGAACAAGGGCAAACUAAGGAGGGCUGAGAGCUAGAGAGAUAGGCUUCCCCAGGAAGGAGCACAACAGUUGUUUAUCUCCUACCAGAGGCCAGUCCUGGAAACACGCAUCCAGGUCACACCAUGAAGCUUGAGCUGGUUAUAUGUAGAAAUCUAUAUGCAUGUACAUGAAUACAUGGGUAGAGGAAAUAACAAUUGAUGGAGAACGGGGUUAUUUGGAAGAGAGCAAGGAAGGGUAUAUGUGAGUCUUUGGGGUAGAAGAGGAAAUAGAUAACAGAUGGAGUAAUAAUCACAAAAAAAGAAAAGAAAUCUUUUACUUGCCCUCUGAGUUUAGUAAGAUUCUGUAUGGCUGUUGGCUAUGUCCUGAGUUUUGGUUGACCCUAGCACCGUCCCUCUGUAAGGCUUUCCAUGCCCGGUAUCCUAGAAAGUCCAUGUUCACAUCUCAUGCGUCUUACGGUCCCCCACCUCUGGACCUCCUCUGGAGGCUCCUUUCUCCCUCCAUGACUUCUACAGACACUGACUCCUAUUCGAACAUAGAAAGGUAGAACUAUGCAGCUGGUGCCCACAUGUGAGAGCACAUUGGUGGCUUCUGUGGCUGUUUGACCAAGAUGUGAAAAAGGGACACGGGAGAGGGGCAGCCAUCCUCAUUGACAGAUAGUCCUGGGGAGAACUGGAUAUACACAUGCAGAAGGCUAAAACCAGACCCCUAACUUUAGACGGAAGAAAAUCGGUUCUAAAAGGAGGUAAGGCCUGAAAUGCGGAGGGUCUCGGGAGAAUGCAGGGGUCAUUUCUCAAGAGAAGCAGAUAGUCAAGUGCAUCCUUCAAAGGUUCGACAACUCCGGAAAUGGUCUCCAUAUUAGUCAGGUGGGGUCCUCAUAAAUUAACGACUUCCUUCACCUUAAACACGAAAUAAUUGGCAGAGUGAAGAGACAAAAUCCAAAAGGGGUGAGCAAAAAACCUUGUUACACAAGUCAUCAUACAGAAACUUAAUGAAAUAUAUAGAUAAUUCAGACAAGUACAGUAGAACCAAACAACUCAGAAGUGAGGAAACAAAACACAUUUCUCCUGGGGCAUAAGAUAUGGAGUGCAUAUAAACAGGAGGGAGACUGAUGAGGUGGGAUAAGUAGGGGGGAGAUAAUUUGUGUGAGGGACAAAGGGAGUACAUGAGACCUGAAAAUGGGUAAAGUCGGCUUUGUAUUCAAAAUUGAAGGGCAUCAGACCCACUGACAUUAGCAACCUGUGUGGAAUGCUUACUAGUGGGUGCAUCGGGCUGGAGCCAUGGCUCAGAGGUUAAGAGCACUCUCUUCUAUGACAUUGGACCAGGUUCUGAUCCCAGGACCACGUGAGCACAGCUCACAACCAUCUAUAACUCCAGUUCCAGAGAAUCUGUCUUGUUCUUCUGGCCGCCAAUGCCACAGGCACUCUUGAAAUGCACAUGCAUGCAGGCAGGCAAAGAGUUAUACACACAAAAAUAAAAAUGAGUCCAUCAUUUAACAGUAAUCCCCAACUGGUUUUCUAAUGAAUAGUACAUAUUCCCUUGCACAGGAUGGUGUUGGAACUGAACAAUCCCUUGCCCUUGAGUGGGUUGUAACUAAACAGACCAGUUGAUGUAGGCAGUGGUAGAUGUACUGGUUGUUUAUUUACAUUCACGGUGGGAAAAGAAAUUUCCUAGAGGAACAAUGUGAGAAAGGGGGAGAUGGGAAUACAAAGCCACUUCUUAGACGUGUGUGCCUGUGAAGCACAGAAGAACAAGAGCAGAAGAAGAUGCACUCGGGGAACCCGAGAGCACUGGGGUUGGUGUGCUCGAUGCUAAUGAGGAGACAUAGGAUGGGUUUUGGUGUACUACUUAAGGAAGCCCUCUGGACCAUAAAGGGAAGGAUGCUUGGAACACAGAAGGGGAUGCAAGACAACACCUGUGAACAGUGCUGGGGGAGGAAGCGGUGACAACUGCUCAGCAUACCAGAGAAGCUUGGUAAC